Molecule: ribosomal RNA, 497 nt
Filed under: uncultured bacterium
Lineage: Bacteria
Description: partial 16S ribosomal RNA
Rfam family: Bacterial small subunit ribosomal RNA
Source: RNAcentral
GAUGAACGCUGGCGGCGUGCCUAAUACAUGCAAGUCGAGCGAACAGACGAGGAGCUUGCUCCUUUGACGUUAGCGGCGGAGGGGUGUGUAACACGUGGAUAACCCACUUAUCAGUCUGGGAUAACUUCGGGAAACCGGCGCUUAUACCGGAUAACAUGCUGCUCCGUAUGGUUCAACAGUGAAAGACGGUCUUGGUGUCUCUUCUCGAGGCAUCUGGGCCGGAUUAGCUAGUUGGUACGGUCACGGCUUACCAAGGCAACGAGGCGUAUCCGAGCGGAGAGGGGGGUCGGCCACACGAGAACUGAGACACGGUCCAGGCUCCUGCGAGAGGCAGCAGUAGGGAAUCUGCCGCAAUAGGCGGAAGUCUGACGGAGCGGCGCCACGUGUGAGGAGAAAGUGUUCGGAUCGUAAAACCCUGUUAUGGGUUAAGAACAAAUGUGUAAUGAAAUGUACACGUCGUGACGGUACCUGGUCAGAAAGCCACGGCUAACUACGUG